UACGUAGGGUGCAAGCGUUGUCCGGAAUUAUUGGGCGUAAAGAGCGUGUAGGCGGUUCGGUAAGUCGGCUGUGAAAGUCCAGGGCUCAACCCUGGGAUGCCGGUCGAUACUGCCGGACUAGAGUUCGGAAGAGGCGAGUGGAAUUCCCGGUGUAGCGGUGAAAUGCGCAGAUAUCGGGAGGAACACCUAUGGCGAAGGCAGCUCGCUGGGACGUUACUGACGCUGAGACGCGAAAGCGUGGGGAGCAAACAGG
Molecule: ribosomal RNA, 253 nt
Filed under: uncultured bacterium
Lineage: Bacteria
Description: partial 16S ribosomal RNA
Rfam family: Bacterial small subunit ribosomal RNA
Source: RNAcentral